Molecule: ribosomal RNA, 375 nt
Filed under: Tubifex tubifex (sludge worm)
Lineage: Eukaryota; Metazoa; Annelida; Clitellata; Tubificida; Naididae
Description: partial 16S ribosomal RNA
Rfam family: Bacterial large subunit ribosomal RNA
Source: RNAcentral
AACGGCCGCGGUAUCCUGACCGUGCAAAGGUAGCAUAAUCACUUGCCUAUUAAUUGUAGGCUAGAAUGAAAGGACAAACGAGAAUACACCUGUCUCCUUUAAGCCCUUAAAAAUUUAUCUUUAAGUGAAGAAGCUUAAAUUCAUAUGCAGGACAAGAAGACCCUAUAGAGCUUUACCUAAAAUCUACAUAAAUAGUAGCUAGCGGUUCGGUUGGGGCGACCGGGGGACAUUCAUCACCCCCAAACUAAAAGAUAUACCUAUCCCACCAAAGAUCCUUACUCAAGAUCAAAGAAUCAAGCUACCUUAGGGAUAACAGGCUAAUCCUCUUAGAGAGCCCUUAUCGACAAGAGGGGUUGGCACCUCGAUGUUGGCUUA